AGAGUUUGAUCCUGGCUCAGGAUGAACGCUAGCGGCAGGCUUAAUACAUGCAAGUCGAGGGGGAUUAGCUGGGUAGCAAUACCCGGCUAUGAGACCGGCAAACGGGUGCGGAACACGUACGCAACCUUCCCAAAAUUGGUGAAUAGCCCUCCGAAAGGAGGAUUAAUACACCGUAACAUACAGAGAUGGCAUCAUCUUUA
This 200-nucleotide ribosomal RNA is filed under the name uncultured bacterium. RNAcentral's name for it is "partial 16S ribosomal RNA". It matches the Rfam family "Bacterial small subunit ribosomal RNA", at positions 8 to 199 of the family's 1533-position model. The record is from RNAcentral.